UUUAUGGAGAGUUUGAUCCUGGCUCAGGAUGAACGCUGGCGGCGUGCCUAAUACAUGCAAGUCGAGCGNACGGACGAGAAGCUNNNNUCUNNNNUNNNNGNNGNNNNNGNGAGUAACACGUGGAUAACCUACCUAUAAGACUGGGAUAACUUCGGGAAACCGGAGCUAAUACCGGAUAAUAUUUUGAACCGCAUGGUUCAAAAGUGAAAGACGGUCUUGCUGUCACUUAUAGAUGGAUCCGCGCUGCAUUAGCUAGUUGGUAAGGUAACGGCUUACCAAGGCAACGAUGCAUAGCCGACCUGAGAGGGUGAUCGGCCACACUGGAACUGAGACACGGUCCAGACUCCUACGGGAGGCAGCAGUAGGGAAUCUUCCGCAAUGGGCGAAAGCCUGACGGAGCAACGCCGCGUGAGUGAUGAAGGUCUUCGGAUCGUAAAACUCUGUUAUUAGGGAAGAACAUAUGUGUAAGUAACUGUGCACAUCUUGACGGUACCUAAUCAGAAAGCCACGGCUAACUACGUGCCAGCAGCCGCGGUAAUACGUAGGUGGCAAGCGUUAUCCGGAAUUAUUGGGCGUAAAGCGCGCGUAGGCGGUUUUUUAAGUCUGAUGUGAAAGCCCACGGCUCAACCGUGGAGGGUCAUUGGAAACUGGAAAACUUGAGUGCAGAAGAGGAAAGUGGAAUUCCAUGUGUAGCGGUGAAAUGCGCAGAGAUAUGGAGGAACACCAGUGGCGAAGGCGACUUUCUGGUCUGUAACUGACGCUGAUGUGCGAAAGCGUGGGGAUCAAACAGGAUUAGAUACCCUGGUAGUCCACGCCGUAAACGAUGAGUGCUAAGUGUUAGGGGGUUUCCGCCCCUUAGUGCUGCAGCUAACGCAUUAAGCACUCCGCCUGGGGAGUACGACCGCAAGGUUGAAACUCAAAGGAAUUGACGGGGACCCGCACAAGCGGUGGAGCAUGUGGUUUAAUUCGAAGCAACGCGAAGAACCUUACCAAAUCUUGACAUCCUUUGACAACUCUAGAGAUAGAGCCUUCCCCUUCGGGGGACAAAGUGACAGGUGGUGCAUGGUUGUCGUCAGCUCGUGUCGUGAGAUGUUGGGUUAAGUCCCGCAACGAGCGCAACCCUUAAGCUUAGUUGCCAUCAUUAAGUUGGGCACUCUAAGUUGACUGCCGGUGACAAACCGGAGGAAGGUGGGGAUGACGUCAAAUCAUCAUGCCCCUUAUGAUUUGGGCUACACACGUGCUACAAUGGACAAUACAAAGGGCAGCGAAACCGCGAGGUCAAGCAAAUCCCAUAAAGUUGUUCUCAGUUCGGAUUGUAGUCUGCAACUCGACUACAUGAAGCUGGAAUCGCUAGUAAUCGUAGAUCAGCAUGCUACGGUGAAUACGUUCCCGGGUCUUGUACACACCGCCCGUCACACCACGAGAGUUUGUAACACCCGAAGCCGGUGGAGUAACCUUUUAGGAGCUAGCCGUCGAAGGUGGGACAAAUGAUUGGGGUGAAGUCGUAACAAGGUAGCCGUAUCGGAAGGUGCGGCUGGAUCACCUCCUUU
Molecule: ribosomal RNA, 1550 nt
Filed under: Staphylococcus aureus
Lineage: Bacteria; Bacillati; Bacillota; Bacilli; Caryophanales; Staphylococcaceae
Description: 16S ribosomal RNA
Rfam family: Bacterial small subunit ribosomal RNA
Source: RNAcentral